CAGGUGUCUAGGAUUCUUCAGGACAGUUCAAACAUAUGCACAAGCAGAUCGUAUAAUAAACUCCCAUGCCUUCAUCAUUGGCCUUCAACAAUGAUCAACCUGUGAGCAAUCUUGCUUCAUCUGUUACACACGCACUACCUUUCCAGUGGAUUAUUUUGGAGAAAACCCAAAUUAUCACAACAUUUCAUCUGGCUUUCUGGUGUGACAAAACAUCCCAGGCUCAUCGUGUAUAUAUAAUGCUGCAGACUUGGACAAGCCAUUUUUUCAAUGAUCCCUGGUUCCUUUUAGUUGGAAAUAGUAUUUAGAAAUUACAACCUGGACACUAGGGUGCCCAUUAAUACUGAGUUGGUCAUCGUUUCCAGGUCGUUUUGGUGAAGAGUGCUAGGAAAUAACUUAAGAUAAAAUAUUUCAUCUACAUUAUCACACCAAAAAGUUCAAAAUAAUUCCUCAAUUAUCAUCAAAUGUUCUAUCAGUGUCCACAUUAUAAUUUGUUGUUGUUUUUUGUUUAUUGGUUGGUUUGCUUUUUUAGUUGGUUUGCUUGAAUCAAGACCUAAAUAUGGUUUAUAUGCUCUUUAAGUCUCUCUUAACUCCUUUCUUUUUUAUCUUGCAAUUUGUUGUUGUUGUAUGAAAGAAUGAAGUCAUAUGGUAUUAUUUACCAUGUUUCUCUUUCCCCUGAAAUUCUUGUAAAUUGCUAGUUAUAUCUUAGAGGCUUGAUCAAAUUUAGGUUUGAUUUUUUUGUCAGACUGUUUUGUAGAAAAUGUAAUCUUCCUUCAUGAGAUACGUAAUGUCGGUAUUUUUUGUGAUGUUUUGUGAUUACUGUGUAGGUACACUACUUCUAUAAGAGUUCCAUUCUAAUUCUGUUUUCUCUCCUCAUUUAUUAGUCCUCAUAAUUCUACAAAGAGAAUUUUCCUCUAGUUGACUCUUUUUGAGGCACAAUUCUGAAAGAAAGGCAAGAUAAAUGUUUAAUGCUUUACCUUUAUUUACCGGUUUUUCAAAUAAUUGUUUGAAAAUAAAAGUUGUUUGUUUCAUUAUGAACUCAUGGAUUGAAACAUAUGUGAUAUGUUUCAAUCCAUUACAGUCAGAUUGUAUCACUUGUGAUUAGUGGGAGCUCCACGGUGGCUCUAGAGUCCUUUUGACACAAUUAGUAUUUGUCAGCGUUCUGGCUUUCUGGUGUGACAAAACAUCCCAGGCUCAUCUUGUAUAUAUAAUGCUGCAGGCUUGGACAAGCCAUUUUUUCUAUGAUCCCUGGUUCCUUUUAGUUGGAAAUAGUAUUUAGAAAUUACAACCUGGACACUAGGGUGCCCAUUAAUACGGAGUUGGUCAUUGUUUCCAGGUCGUUUUGGUGAGGAGUGCUAGGAAAUAAUUUUUAAGACAAAAUAUAUCACAAUUCAAAUUCAUACUUCUAAUCCAAAUUCAGACUACACUUCUUUGUUCAGCUAUGAUGAAGUAUCUUAUAUCAGAGCAACUAUUUCAUGAAAACCAGCUGUGAAAGUUAAAUUUGAAAUGAAGAAAACCGCUUUAUGGCAUUGGAGAAAAGCAAAGUCAAACAUGAUUCAAGGGGCCAACAUUUCUGAGAGAAGGCAAUACAUUAGUGUGAAUCAGACUUUCUCCAACAAUUUUUUUCCUUGAGACACUUGCUGGGAAGAAAACAGAAACCUGAAGCUUUGUUUUUCUCACAGAGCACUAGCCUUGUGUCAAUGUUCCUCCAGUUACUUGGUUGUCUAAAGCUCAUUCUCUAGUAAAUUCCUCAGGAGGGUCACAUAGGAAUAAUAUUUUCCUGAGUUCUUACAUAUUCAUAAAAGUUUGUAGCCCUUAUAUUUGAAAGUCUUUUUGGCUGGAUAUAAAAUCUUUGGCUCACAUUUUCUUUCCUUAAGUAUGUUAAAUAUGUUACUCCAUUUUUUUCUUGCAUAAAGUGCUGCUUUCAAAAAGUCUAAUGACAAUCUGUUCCUCUUACUCUUGUAAAUAAGUUACCUAGUUGUUCAAAACUUUUUUUAAAAUUUGAAGUCCAAUAGCCUCAAUGGUGACUGUUCUGGGUCAGUUUUCAUAAGUACAUAAUGUGCUCUUCCAGUAUGUAGUUUCAAAUAUUUUAAUUUCAGGAAAGCUUUCGCAAAUUAUGAUCUUAUUAUUUGCUCUGUUUCAUUGUUUUGGUUUUCUUUUUCAGAGACUUCUAUUAUCUGUAUGUUGGCUCUUCUUUGCUUGUCUUCUAUAUUUGUCAUUUCCUCUUAAAACCUUUUAAUCUCAUUUAUGAAUUGUUGUUGAGUUUAUUUGCUCUUGUUCCUUGUAGUUUAGCCUGUAUUUUUGAAAUGAUUUUAUGUUAUCAAAUUCUUCUUUUUCAAUGUCUUUUUUAUCUCCCUUUCUCCAAUAAUUUCACUUCUAACAUUUUCUAAUUAGGUUUAAAUUGAUGAUUUUGAUAUAUUUAAACUAUGGGGCCACCACUGCCACCUUCCCCAAAUCCUCUGCCUUUCUUGAAUUUAUGUCUUUUUGUAUGUAUUUGUAACCUCAAUGCCUGGCACAUAACAAGUGCUCAAUAGAUGCUUGCUAAAUCAUAUUCACCAUCACUGACAUGAUCUUUACCAAUGCAAGGCAAAGUGAUCUCUUUUAUCAAAUGAAUAUAUAUUGAACAUAGGGUGUAUGAGAAAUCUUUGUAAACCUAAGUUAUUAAGGGAUUAGACAAAAGAACAUACAGUAAUCAAGUUAUUAGAAUACAUAAAUAAAUUUACAACUUGAUUGUGUGAAUUUCUGCUAAAGAUAAACCAAAGCAAAUGUUUCCAUUUAUUGUUGAUGUUGCCUUUGAAAUAUACAGAACUACCUGGCUCAAGAAGAAGACUCAGGUUGAGAUUGGGACGUAUUGGGGAAGAGAUAUGGAAAGAGCUCAGGGUGUCAGAGAAGGCAGAAGGGCAGAAACACAUUGUUUCUGCUUAUGAAAAUAGUGAUUUAUGUUCUAAAAACAAUUAAACACAUAUCUGGUUGUCUUGGAAGGAAGGGAGGGGGUUAAAUUAAAGGGAGGAAAAAUCAGUAAAGCACAAGACAAAUAACUUGAGACUGAAAGUUAUAUUGUUAAAGCUUUUGCCUUCUUCAACUGUUAUAUCUAUGUGAAUCAGGCUUUUCCUUACACCAUACGACAAAAACAAAGUACAGAAAUAAGUGCAUGGACUACUACUCAGCCUAUAAAAAAGAAGAAAACCCUGUUAUUUGUGAGAAUGUGGAUGAAACUGGAGGACAUUAUGCUAAGUGAAAUAACUCCAGCACAAAAAAAACCCACAAAAUACUACAUGAUUUCACUUGUAUGUGGAAUCUAAAAAAGUCAAACUUAAAGAAGCAGAAAGUAGAAUGGUGGUUACCAGAGGCUGAGGGUGGGGUGGGGUAAGAGCAUGAGGGGACAUUGACCAAAGGGUAUAAAGUUCUCAUUAGGCAGAAGGAAUAAAUUUGUAAGUUAUUGCACAGCAAGGUGAACACAGUCAAUAAUAACAUAUGAUUCAAAAUUGCUAAGAGAAUAGAUUUUAAAUGUUCUCACCAUAAAAAUAUAAGUAUGUGAGAUGAUGGAUAUAGUAAUUAGCUUUAUUUAAUUAUUCUACAGUGUAUACAUAUACCAAAGCAUCACAUUGUAC
Molecule: long non-coding RNA, 3608 nt
Filed under: Homo sapiens (human)
Lineage: Eukaryota; Metazoa; Chordata; Mammalia; Primates; Hominidae
Description: HSALNT0183333
Source: RNAcentral